GACACUUUGGCCGAGUGGUUAAGGCGUUGGCCUGCUAAGCCAAUGGGAGUUUUCCCGCGAGAGUUCAAACCUCUCAGGUGUCG
Oxytricha trifallax is the source of this 83-nucleotide non-coding RNA. The record is from Rfam. NCBI's taxonomy places the organism in Eukaryota, Ciliophora, Spirotrichea, Sporadotrichida, Oxytrichidae.